AUUGAACGCUGGCGGCAGGCCUAACACAUGCAAGUCGAGCGGAGCGGCAGAGGGGGGAGUAAUGACUAGGAAUCGGCCAGGUAGUGGGGGAAAACGACCGGAAACGGGCGCUAAUACCGCAGACUAUCAGAAGAGCAUAGGUCGGAUUAGCGAGGUGGUGGGGUAAAGGCCUACCCAGGCGACGAUCCGUAACUGGUCUGAGAGGAUGAUCAGUCACACUGGAACUGAGACACGGUCCAGACUCCUACGGGAGGCAGCAGUGGGGAAUAUUGGACAAUGGGCGAAAUCCUGAUCCAGCCAUGCCGCGUGUGUGAAGAAGGUCUUCGGAUUGUAAAGCACUUUAAGUUGGGAGGCGUUACCAACAGAAUAAGCACCGGCUAACUUCGUGCCAGCAGCCGCGGUAAUUC
This 407-nucleotide ribosomal RNA is filed under the name uncultured bacterium. RNAcentral describes it as "partial 16S ribosomal RNA". It matches the Rfam family "Bacterial small subunit ribosomal RNA", at positions 29 to 526 of the family's 1533-position model. The record is from RNAcentral.